ACGAGAUGCCUCUCUGGCUGGGCGAAUAGGACCUUAGACAAGCUCUAUUCUUCCCGGUCAGAGGGGCAUCUCUGCGUCAGGACACCCGCUGAACACCCCGACUCAUCGGUGGAUCGAG
RNAcentral lists this small RNA (118 nucleotides) under Gordonia humi. Its description in RNAcentral is "Gordonia sp. CC-12301 Actinobacteria sRNA Ms_IGR-7". It matches the Rfam family "Actinobacteria sRNA Ms_IGR-7". The record is from Rfam by way of RNAcentral. Lineage: Bacteria; Bacillati; Actinomycetota; Actinomycetes; Mycobacteriales; Gordoniaceae.